RNAcentral lists this transfer RNA (73 nucleotides) under Verrucomicrobiales bacterium. RNAcentral describes it as "tRNA-Phe". It matches the Rfam family "tRNA". Rfam says of the family: Transfer RNA (tRNA) molecules are approximately 80 nucleotides in length. Their secondary structure includes four short double-helical elements and three loops (D, anti-codon, and T loops). RNAcentral also lists the same sequence under 1 other name. Lineage: Bacteria; Pseudomonadati; Verrucomicrobiota; Verrucomicrobiia; Verrucomicrobiales. The record is from RNAcentral.
GGCUCGAUAGCUCAGUUGGUAGAGCAGAGGAUUGAAAAUCCUCGUGUCGGCGGUUCGAUUCCGUCUCGAGCCA